GACCCACUAGCUCAGUCGGUAGAGCAUCUGACUUUUAAUCAGGGGGUCUGGAGUUCGAAUCUCCAGUGGGUCACCA
Molecule: transfer RNA, 76 nt
Filed under: Bacillota bacterium
Lineage: Bacteria; Bacillati; Bacillota
Also listed under: 2 other names
Description: tRNA-Lys
Rfam family: tRNA
About the family: Transfer RNA (tRNA) molecules are approximately 80 nucleotides in length. Their secondary structure includes four short double-helical elements and three loops (D, anti-codon, and T loops).
Source: RNAcentral